CUGCUGCCUUCCGUAGGAGUUUGGGCCGUGUCUCAGUCCCAAUGUGGCCGUCCGCCCUCUCAGGCCGGCUACCGAUCGUCGCUUUGGUGGGCCGUUACCCCGCCAACUGGCUAAUCGGGCGCGGGCCCAUCCCGUGCCGCCGGAGCUUUCCGCAUACUGCCAUGCGGCUGUAUCGCGCUUAUGCGGUAUUAGCGCCUGUUUCCAGGCGGUAUCCCCCGGCACGGGGCCAGGUUGCCCACGCGUUACUCACCCGUCCGCCACUAACGUA
This 268-nucleotide ribosomal RNA is filed under the name uncultured bacterium. RNAcentral's name for it is "partial 16S ribosomal RNA". The record is from RNAcentral.